Molecule: ribosomal RNA, 647 nt
Filed under: uncultured bacterium
Lineage: Bacteria
Description: bacterial SSU rRNA
Rfam family: Bacterial small subunit ribosomal RNA
Source: RNAcentral
GGGCUUCGGCCUGGUGGCGAGUGGCGAACGGGUGAGUAAUGCGUCGGAACGUGCCGAGUAAUGGGGGAUAACGCAUCGAAAGGUGUGCUAAUACCGCAUACGCUCUGAGGAGGAAAGCGGGGGACCUUCGGGCCUCGCGUUAUUCGAGCGGCCGACGUCUGAUUAGCUAGUUGGUGGGGUAAAGGCUCACCAAGGCGACGAUCAGUAGCGGGUCUGAGAGGAUGAUCCGCCACACUGGGACUGAGACACGGCCCAGACUCCUACGGGAGGCAGCAGUGGGGAAUUUUGGACAAUGGGCGAAAGCCUGAUCCAGCCAUGCCGCGUGAGUGAAGAAGGCCUUCGGGUUGUAAAGCUCUUUUGUCCGGGAGGAAAUCCCGCAACCUAAUACGUUGCGGGGAUGACAGUACUGGAAGAAUAAGCACCGGCUAACUACGUGCCAGCAGCCGCGGUAAUACGUAGGGUGCAAGCGUUAAUCGGAAUUACUGGGCGUAAAGCGUGCGCAGGCGGUUUGAUAAGUCAGAUGUGAAAUCCCCGGGCUUAACCUGGGAACUGCGUUUGAAACUGUCAGGCUAGAGUACGUCAGAGGGGGGUGGAAUUCCACGUGUAGCAGUGAAAUGCGUAGAGAUGUGGAGGAACACCGAUGGCGA